This is a long non-coding RNA of Thalassophryne amazonica, 418 nucleotides long. RefSeq lists it as uncharacterized. The transcript is spliced from 2 exons. The record is from RefSeq and is a predicted model, not a curated record. Lineage: Eukaryota; Metazoa; Chordata; Actinopteri; Batrachoidiformes; Batrachoididae.
GAACUGUGUUCUAUCCUCUUUAAUGUUCAUCACACAUGGAAACAGAAAAUAUGUAUAAGUGAAGUUAGAUGGGACUGACAUAGAUAACAGGAAACUCUAACCAAGGAAACUCUUAUUUUCAUUCAGGCAUAAUAGUGUCUCCAUUGUCAGUCAUUUAUUUAACAUGCUCUGUCCAUACUAACAGACGAGUGAAGCAAACAAUACAGUGUGCGUACAACUCAUUUCAGGGUUCAGAGGAGCUCAGUGAUGAUCAGUAACACCUUAAAAAAAAAAACAGGCAGGUUUUUCCCAAAGUGUGUGGUGCAUUUUGUCACAAGACUGGCUUGUAUCAUUUUGAUUUUAGUGUAAAAUUAUUACCAGCACACAAAAUCAUUUCCUUUCUGCAUUGUCCCAAUAAUUUCAAAGACAGUUAUUUACC